Micropterus dolomieu (smallmouth bass) is the source of this 1284-nucleotide long non-coding RNA. RefSeq lists it as uncharacterized. The transcript is spliced from 3 exons. The record is from RefSeq and is a predicted model, not a curated record. NCBI's taxonomy places the organism in Eukaryota, Metazoa, Chordata, Actinopteri, Centrarchiformes, Centrarchidae.
UGGGCCUACCUGGGUGAUCAAAGUUGUACUGGCCCUUCAGCGCUUUCCCCUUUUGCUCCGGAGUCAGGACUCUGUAGAAGCUGUCCUGGCUGAUAAUAGCCACCUUUCUCUGGCGGUGGUCCACCUUGUUCUGACCCAGAAGCUCCAUGAUCUUGGCGCAAACUGUUGACUGGCAGAAAACUUAUUAUGACCUGUCAUUAUGCUUUACUAGGAUAGAACAGCAAGUUUGUGUCCUGAGCUAUAGGGGGAACAAAUGACCUUCUCAAUGUAGUAACGUUAAUCAGCUGACUCUUGGUCAGUCAUUGCGAGGGAAAUAGUUAGCUGUAUGACGCCAUUUAACGCUAAAAGGGCAACAGGAAGUGUUGGCAAAGGUAGUAAAAAUUAACAGAGCAGAAAUGCAAUGACUGCUCUGGCGUGUUAAUGGAAAGAAGAAAUAUAAAGAGAGCAAGGGGGCGUGCCUGCUGUUUUGACAGUUUGCCUGGUGCUAUUAUGUUGGCGCUGCUAGCACACUAAGCUAAGCUACUCGAGAUGCUAACUCCGUAGUUCGUCUGCCUGAAAAAGGGACUGACCUUGCCGCUGGCGGUUCCUCCGCUGACCCCUAUUAGGAAAGGGCGGUGACGGGGCCUCUCUGCCUCGUCCAGGGUCCCAAGAGUAUCCAUCGCAGUCCAACUGCAGAAGCUUUAAUGCAGAGCGACUUACAUUUGAGGAACAGCGUAAGCUACAAAAAAGCAUCAAGAAAGUGGGACAUCUACAAGUAACAACAGAUUCAUCCACCACUAUCUCCAAAGCAGCACUUCCUUCGAUCCUCUUCACAGUCUCUCCUUUGGCAGCAAGGAUUUCCUCGAUGUUUCUAAAGUGGAAAACAACACAACACGAGUAAUUCAGAAAUGUACCCAUGUCUAGUGUAUUUUGAACAUCGUGCGCACUCCAUGCUCAAAAGGCUGCAUGGGUCAAAAGCACCUCCAACCUCUUCCCUUCCAGGUCAGAGAACCAGUUGAGGUUAUCAGCGAUGAUAUGGUGGUUCUUGCAUCCUGAACAUGUCACUAUCACAACACCUUUGUGAUAAGCCUGCUUGGAUAUCUUCUGCGUGGACCUAGUAGAGCAAACCUGCAAACAUGUCACAUAAAUGACUUUUAAACCCAGGGAUAUGUCACAACAUAAAACAAACAGACCAAGAAAAUGUUUUGGGAUUUCAAGAUGGAAAACUUUAACAUCUGAUUAAAUAAAGCAACAGCACAAGUUAUGGCCCAACACUGGUCCUGGUACCUUGCAUGUGUAAAUGAG